GUUAGUUUUCAGCGGCGGAUCCGGUAGGCUUGUCCCUGAAUAGUUCCUGUUUGUAGCCCCAAAAUUUUGUCAUGUUAGUCUCGUUUUCUACCAUGUUGUUGUUCAUCCCGGAUGUUUUACUGAACAUCUCUAUGUAUUUUGCUCCUUUUGUUGUGCAUUUUCCUGAAUUUCGUGCUUAUUUUUCAGUGUUUUCUCCAUAAUAGGAAGUGUAUGUAAGAUCAAGGGUCUGCAGUGGUAUGCGCAUGAAGUUCUGCUGUGCAUUUUGUCUACCUUCAUCUCUGUGCAGUUGACCUAUAUGCAUCUCUAUGCUGUAGAACUUCACUGCUUGCUUAUGUGCCUCAUGUAGCUUUGCUGUACUUUCUUAUUUUUUAGUUAAUAUUGUACCCCUUGCAGUAUUUUGCCUAGUGUUUAUGUUGUCAUAGUUGAUGUGCAACUUGCUCCCUAAUUAGUGUGUGGGUAUUGUAUCCUUUGGCCUUUGUAAAUAUUGUAUCAUUUGGCCCUGUUCUAGUCUGUAAUACCCCUCUUGUUCUUCACUAUGCAUGUGUAGUAGCACUGCCUUCUUCUUAGUAUGAUUGAUAUUGUAUUUUUUCUUAAUUUCUAUUUGAUGUAUCUCUGACUUAGACUGUACUUCCCCUAGUUUUCUUUUGAUGCAGUUGUAUGCCCGAUGAAUUUUUGUAAUGUAUUUUCUGAAGUUCAGUGUAUUUCCCUGGAGUUUUACACUGUAAUUUGUGUGGGUGAGGAAUGUAAUUAACCAUAUGGCUUACACUGCAACUAAACAUAGGGCUUACACUGUAAAUUAGCAGAGUUUUCCACUUUAACUAACCAUAUGGCUUACACUGCAACUAACGAUAGGGCUUACACUGUAAAUUAGCAGAGUUUUCCACUGUAACUAACCAUAGGGCUUACACUGUAAAUUAGCAGAGUUUUCCACUGUAAUUAACCAUAGGGCUUACACUGUAAAGUAGCAGAGUUUUCCACUGUAAUUAACCAUAGGGCUUACACUGUAAAUUAGCAGAGUUUUCCACUGUAAUUAACCAUAGGGCUUACACUGUAAAUUAGCAGAGUUUUCCACUGUAUUUUGUGUUGAUGAGGACUGUAAUUUGUGGUUUGGCCUUAGCUUGUAUUUUUCAUAGGGCUUACGCCAUAAUUGAGUAGAGUUUUACACUAUAAUUUUUCUUGGUGAGGACUAUAUUUGUUGUAGGGUUUACAGUGUAAUUGUAAAGUGUAUUUUUCCUGUUGGGCUUACACCGUAAAUGAGUAGAGUUCUACAGUGUAAUUUGUGUGGGUUGGGACUGUAAUUGUACAAUGUAUUUUUCCUAUUGGGCUUAAUCUGUAAGUCACCAGAGUUUUUCUGUGUAAUUUGUGUGGGUUAGUACUAUAAUUGUUUCACUUAAUUUUCAACGUAAAUUCGGCGUGACUUGUCCUGAAUUAUUUCUGUAAUAUGACACAAAAUUACAGCGUAAUUUCACUUUAUUU
RNAcentral lists this long non-coding RNA (1476 nucleotides) under Triticum aestivum (bread wheat). RNAcentral's name for it is "long non-coding RNA (TAES_LNC015262)". The record is from RNAcentral. Lineage: Eukaryota; Viridiplantae; Streptophyta; Magnoliopsida; Poales; Poaceae.